This 465-nucleotide ribosomal RNA is filed under the name uncultured bacterium. RNAcentral describes it as "partial 16S ribosomal RNA". It matches the Rfam family "Bacterial small subunit ribosomal RNA", at positions 28 to 507 of the family's 1533-position model. The record is from RNAcentral.
GACGAACGCUGGCGGCGUGCUUAACACAUGCAAGUCGAACGGAAAGGCCCCUUUGGGGGUACUCGAGUGGCGAACGGGUGAGUAACACGUGAGUAACCUGCCCUUGACUUCGGGAUAACUUCAGGAAACUGGGGCUAAUACCGGAUAGGAAUCCUUGCUGCAUGGUGGGGGUUGGAAAGCUUCGGCGGUGUUGGAUGGACUCGCGGCUUAUCAGCUUGUUGGUGGGGUAGUGGCUUACCAAGGCUUUGACGGGUAGCCGGCCUGAGAGGGCGACCGGCCACAUUGGGACUGAGAUACGGCCCAGACGCCUACGGGAGGCAGCAGUGGGGAAUAUUGCACAAUGGGCGGAAGCCUGAUGCAGCAACGCCGCGUGCGGGAUGACGGCCUUCGGGUUGUAAACCGCUUUCAGCAGGGGCGAAGCUUGUGGUGACGGUACCUGCAGAAGAAGCACCGGCUAACUACGUG